This 76-nucleotide transfer RNA is filed under the name Limisphaerales bacterium. RNAcentral describes it as "Verrucomicrobia subdivision 3 bacterium (hot springs metagenome) tRNA-Thr". It matches the Rfam family "tRNA". Rfam says of the family: Transfer RNA (tRNA) molecules are approximately 80 nucleotides in length. Their secondary structure includes four short double-helical elements and three loops (D, anti-codon, and T loops). Lineage: Bacteria; Pseudomonadati; Verrucomicrobiota; Verrucomicrobiia; Limisphaerales. The record is from RNAcentral.
GCCCAUGUAGCUCAGUUGGUAGAGCGCGUCCUUGGUAAGGACGAGGUCGUCAGUUCGAAUCUGAUCAUGGGCUCCA